CAAUGAUCAUCGCGCGGGAGACAGGAUACACCCUGGACAGAGCAACAGGCCUGCUCUGUAUGUGUUAUCACCACAACUCAUGAGGGGUUUCUACUCAGUGUCUCGAUGAUGAUGUUGAUCCUGAUGGUGAUGGUGAUGCAAAUUUAACUCAAGGCAAAGCGGAGAUGGAGAACAGAGUGAGCCUCAGUGCUGCCACCUAGCAGACAGAAUUGGUGGUGAUAGAAAACCCGCUGGAGUUGUACCGAGUGGAAGUGGAGGUGCUGGAUGUGAACGACAACGUGCCGAGCUUUCCGUGGAGCGAGUUUAACCUGGAGAUCACGGAAUCAGCCGCGCCAAGCUCGCGCUUUCCGCUGGAGAUGACCUUCCCU
Pygocentrus nattereri (red-bellied piranha) is the source of this 368-nucleotide long non-coding RNA. The record is from Ensembl. NCBI's taxonomy places the organism in Eukaryota, Metazoa, Chordata, Actinopteri, Characiformes, Serrasalmidae.